UUUUUCGAUGGCGAGCUUUGUCUCAGUGCCCUCGAGAGAAGACCACCCGAAAGUGGUAUACAUUACGGCUGAUGUGGUAAGACUGGUGGCAACUGGGAACAGGGAGAAGGAAAAGACCUUUGCUUGUGAUAGCAGGAGGGGGAGAAAGGGGCGGAAGAAAUAGGCUCAUCAUAUGGUUUUUUAAAGGCCCCUGAAAGGUGCUGGGAUUGUAAAAGGUACCGGACAUCCUUGGAGAGAGAUGAGAGUUCACGUAAAUGGAGUAAAGAUUAUUACAUCUGAGAUCCUAAAUAGAAACAGGGUGUAGAAUAGUUAAGAGGGAUAGUUACUUGGGGAGGUCAUUCUAUAAUAAUCAUUUGCUGCUGCAGUGCCUCAAAUCGUCUUUUCUUUGUGCUAUCAUUCUUCUUCAGUCUCUUCUGUCAUAACACCAUAUGUUGGGUGGGCAGCACAAGAGAAUGUGGGUCAUUCUACUGCUUAGCAUUGCGCAAAUCAUGAUCAGAGCAACAGCAGCAGGAAGACCUUUUCCACAUGAGCCUCGAGGUAAAUUUUUCUUGGUUCCUCCAUUUUUUUACUCUUGUUUCUUUGAGCAAUGCUAUGGUAACUCAGAACAAUGACUCGAAAAUGUCACGCAGCUCUCUUGCACCAUUCGCCGUGCUUCGUUAUAUGGAAUAAUUCGCAAUGCUAAUUCAAAGGUGGCAACAAGAACAUAGCACAUGCCAGCUGAGUGACUUUUUGAGCUGCAAAUUUGAGUUACUAAAGCUUUUUGCCCCCCGUAGACCUGUUGUUUUUUUUUUUUGCCCAUCAAAUCUGUCGUAUAAAAAUACUAAAUCAUGUUUCUUCUCCGGUAGAAAGUAACAAGAAUCUUUGGUUACCUUUCGUGCAUACUUUUCUUGCCAGUCAACGUUCUUGAACACGGCUGAAAUCCUUCUGUUUACUCGCGCAGGCCAAGUUGCAAACUAUUUCCAGGUGGAAUGUGAAGCAACAAAGG
This 985-nucleotide long non-coding RNA is filed under the name Elaeis guineensis (African oil palm). RNAcentral's name for it is "long non-coding RNA (EGUI_LNC006427)". The record is from RNAcentral. Lineage: Eukaryota; Viridiplantae; Streptophyta; Magnoliopsida; Arecales; Arecaceae.